UACAGAGGGGGCAAGCGUUAUUCGGAAUUAUUGGGCGUAAAGGGCGCGUAGGCGGCUUUUCAAGUGACGGGUGAAAUCCCUCGGCUUAACCGAGGAACUGCCUGUCAGACUGGAAGGCUUGAGACCGGGAGAGGUGAGUGGAAUUCCCAGUGUAGCGGUGAAAUGCGUAGAUAUUGGGAGGAACACCAGUGGCGAAGGCGGCUCACUGGACCGGUUCUGACGCUGAGGCGCGAAAGCGUGGGGAGCAAACGGG
This 253-nucleotide ribosomal RNA is filed under the name uncultured bacterium. RNAcentral describes it as "partial 16S ribosomal RNA". It matches the Rfam family "Bacterial small subunit ribosomal RNA", at positions 524 to 776 of the family's 1533-position model. The record is from RNAcentral.